CUUGGAAUCAGUUCGGACCUGUGUCUGCUGCACAGCUGAAUCCCUGGGAAACUCUUUUAGUGUGGCAUGGCAGAAAGAACAAUGUAUAUGCCCACACAAAUACCUGCUGAUGGAGAUACAAAUGUGAUAGAAAAACAUCUCCUGAGAGAGACAUUUGAGGACUCCAAUUGGAUACUCAAAGAGAUUCUCUGGUGACCAAAAGGAGCCUUCAGUGAUCAAAUAACUUCAGUUAAGAAUUCCUGGUUUAAGAUUUUACAGGAAUACAUUGAACAUCAGGUUGAUGAUGCAAUGAUGGCAAAUGCAGCCCAGAAAUUUCCCUUCAAUAUUCCUAAAAGCAAAGAAGGAUAUUAAUAUCAUCAAAUCUUUGAAUGCCAUUACCCAGGCCAGGCUGACUGGCUGAGCCAUUACUGGAUGCCCAAGUGGAUCAAUGCCACUGACCCUUCUGCCCACACACUGACCCACUACAAGUCAGCUGCCAAAGCUUAAGUGCUCUUUAUGCUGUAAUGUGAAAGCAAAUAUUUCUUCUUGCUGCGUGGGGAUUAUGGAUAGAUAGGGGAACAAUGACAGUCAAUUCAGGCUAACUUGGGUGUGAAAAAAAUAAAAGUCCUAAAUCUAAAA
Molecule: long non-coding RNA, 618 nt
Filed under: Homo sapiens (human)
Lineage: Eukaryota; Metazoa; Chordata; Mammalia; Primates; Hominidae
Description: HSALNT0346452
Source: RNAcentral